Molecule: small nucleolar RNA, 73 nt
Organism: Dipodomys ordii (Ord's kangaroo rat)
Lineage: Eukaryota; Metazoa; Chordata; Mammalia; Rodentia; Heteromyidae
Gene: SNORD30
Rfam family: Small nucleolar RNA SNORD30
About the family: U30 is a member of the C/D class of snoRNA which contain the C (UGAUGA) and D (CUGA) box motifs. U30 is encoded within the U22 snoRNA host gene (UHG) in mammals and is thought to act as a 2'-O-ribose methylation guide for ribosomal RNA.
Source: Ensembl
GUGCAUGAUGACUUCCUUAAUGGAAUCUCGUUCGGCUGAUGCCUUGCUGUUGAGACUUGGAAAUCUGAUAUUC